This 446-nucleotide ribosomal RNA is filed under the name uncultured bacterium. RNAcentral describes it as "partial 16S ribosomal RNA". It matches the Rfam family "Bacterial small subunit ribosomal RNA", at positions 338 to 795 of the family's 1533-position model. The record is from RNAcentral.
CCUACGGGAGGCAGCAGUCGAGAAUCAUUCACAAUGGGGGAAACCCUGAUGGUGCGACGCCGCGUGGGGGAAUGAAGGUCUUCGGAUUGUAAACCCCUGUCAUGUGGGAGCAAAUUAAAAAGAUAGUACCACAAGAGGAAGAGACGGCUAAAUCGGUGCCAGCAGCCGCGGUACUACAGAGGUCUCAAGCGGUGUUCGGAAUCACUGGGGGUAAAGCGGGCGUUGGCUGUUUCGUAAGUCGUGUGUGAAAGGCGCGGGCUCAACCCGCGGACGGCACAUGAUACUGCGAGACUAGAGUAAUGGAGAGGGAAGCGGAAUUCUCGGUGUAGCAGUGAAAUGCGUAGAUAUCGAGAGGAACACUCGUGGCGAAGGCGGGUUCCUGGACAUUAACUGACGCUGAGGCACGAAGGCGAGGGGAGCGAAAGGGAUUAGAUACCCCUGUAGUC